This 253-nucleotide ribosomal RNA is filed under the name uncultured bacterium. RNAcentral describes it as "partial 16S ribosomal RNA". It matches the Rfam family "Bacterial small subunit ribosomal RNA", at positions 524 to 776 of the family's 1533-position model. The record is from RNAcentral.
UACGGGGGGAGCAAGCGUUGUUCGGAAUUACUGGGCGUAAAGGGCUCGUAGGUGGUCAACUAAGUCAUACGUGAAAUCCCUCGGCUUAACCGGGGAACUGCGCCUGAUACUGGUUGACUUGAGUUUGGGAGAGGGACGCGGAAUUCCAGGUGUAGCGGUGAAAUGCGUAGAUAUCUGGAGGAAUACCGGUGGCGAAGGCGGCAUCCUGGACCGACAUUGACGCUGAGGCGCGAAAGCCAGGGGAGCAAACGGG